UUAAGUUCAGCGGGUAUUCCUACCUGAUCCGAGGUCAACCUUUGUAAAAGUAGGGGGUUUCACGGCCGGCACCCGCCACACGACCAGAGCGAGGAGAUACUACUGCACUCGGUGUGAUAGCGAGCCCGCCACUGCUUUUCGGGGGUGCGGACGGCCGCAGGGCCCCAACACAAGCCCGGGGCUUGAUGGUUGAAAUGACG
RNAcentral lists this unclassified non-coding RNA (200 nucleotides) under fungal sp. RNAcentral's name for it is "partial internal transcribed spacer 2". Lineage: Eukaryota; Fungi. The record is from RNAcentral.